Molecule: ribosomal RNA, 440 nt
Filed under: uncultured bacterium
Lineage: Bacteria
Description: partial 16S ribosomal RNA
Rfam family: Bacterial small subunit ribosomal RNA
Source: RNAcentral
CCUACGGGAGGCAGCAGUGGGGAAUAUUGCACAAUGGGGGAAACCCUGAUGCAGCGACGCCGCGUGAGUGAAGAAGUAAUUCGUUAUGUAAAGCUCUAUCAGCAGGGAAGAAAAUGACGGUACCUGAGUACGAAGCACAGGCUAACUACGUGACAGCAGCCGCGGUAAUACGUAGGGGGCAAGCGUUAUCCGGAUUUACUGGGUGUAAAGGGAGCGUAGACGGCAGUGCAAGUUUGGAGUGAAAGGCGGGGGCUCAACCCCCGGACUGCUCUGGAAACUGUAGGGCUGGAGUGUAGGAGAGGUAGGUGGAAUUCCUGGUGUAGCGGUGAAAUGCGUAGAUAUUAGGAAGAACACCAGUGGCGAAGGCGGCUUACUGGACUAUAACUGACGUUGAGGCUCGAAAGCGUGGGGAGCAAACAGGAUUAGAUACCCGAGUAGUC